Molecule: ribosomal RNA, 253 nt
Filed under: uncultured bacterium
Lineage: Bacteria
Description: partial 16S ribosomal RNA
Rfam family: Bacterial small subunit ribosomal RNA
Source: RNAcentral
CACGUAGGGGCCAAGCGUUAUCCGGAUUUACUGGGCGUAAAGCGCGUUCAGGCGGUUUGGCAAGUCGGGCAUGAAAUCUCUCGGCUCAACCGGGAGAGGUUGUCCGAUACUGCUGGACUUGAGGGCAGUAGAGGGUGGUGGAAUUCCGGGUGUAGUGGUGUAAUGCGUAGAUAUCCGGAGGAACACCAGUGGCGAAAGCGGCCACCUGGACUGCACCUGACGCUGACACGCGAAAGCUAGGGGAGCGAACGGG